ACAGCCAUGUCACAUUGAAACAACACUAGUUCUCAUACAAUCACCAAAGAUAAACAGCAUUGAGCCUAGUCAGUACCUAGAUGGGUGACCACUUGAGUAUAACAGGUGUUGCAAG
This is a non-coding RNA of Acanthosepion pharaonis, 115 nucleotides long. The record is from the annotation of a GenBank genome assembly. Lineage: Eukaryota; Metazoa; Mollusca; Cephalopoda; Sepiida; Sepiidae.